Molecule: long non-coding RNA, 4507 nt
Organism: Dromaius novaehollandiae (emu)
Lineage: Eukaryota; Metazoa; Chordata; Aves; Casuariiformes; Dromaiidae
Exons: 2
Source: RefSeq, a predicted model, not a curated record
CCCAGGGAGCUGGGAGACAGGGAUUUGUAACCAGAGCCUGGGGCCGAGGGCAGAGCAAGAAGGUGCUGACAGAAGCUCGCUGGGAUAUUGAUGACCCCCUAUCUCCACGGAUCACCUUUUCCUGGCACCGCUUUUGCAGUGCGUUCUCAUCCCUCAGCACAAUUUACACAGAUUGUCGUGUUGCCUUCUCCAUGCCUGGAAGACCCAGCUGCUAAUUCAGCUCACUCCAUCUUCAAAAGAUGAGGUUUGGUCCAUCUCACAGUCACCAGGGUUUGGCCUGAGUUCCCAGUGAACUCAGGAAAAAGAUUGACUCAGCUUCAAAGGAACAUGACCUUAGUCUGUACUCUGAACAACAGUUCAAAAAUGCCUGCAUGGCCGCAGGCUGUACUGACCUGCUGUUGCCUGUAAUAGUUGCGUUGUGAGUUCGUUGGAGCAUGGGCCAUCGUUAAAUCCUGUGUUUGUACAGUGCCUCGUGCAAUGCAAUAUUAAUUUGUGACUGGUGCUCCUACAUGUUACCACAUCACAUACCCCCCUUCUGUGAGGGUAUGUGUGGGGAUGGCACUGCUUUUAUUUUUUGUGCUGUGUAAUUUCAGUGAGCUGCCAUUUUGUUCACAGAAGGGUCACUGGUUGGUGUGGGAAGAAAGACACACUGUGAUUCCUGGUGGAAACAUCUGCUCCAGCCUUGUAGUUGCUCCCUCUCAACUGGCAGAAAAAAUAAUUCAAUUUCAGAUAAUACUGUGCUGUUCUUUCCAUGUGGAAAGGCAUGCAAAACUAUUCCUCUUUUGCCUGCUAAUUGCCUUGAUUUCUGCUUCUACACUCCCAGCUGCCUUUCCUCCUCAGGUUGCCCUUUCUGACUCCUCGAUUAACGUCUUUGUCCACCCAUUUAGCACUCAGGACGUGGUGACCUUUGGAUGCAAAUCUGGGCCAACAUCCCUCCCGCUCACACACUUUCUGGGGGGGCUGCCACCUGCAAUGCUCCUUGCAGCAGAGGCAGGAGGCAGCUGGGCAGAAGCGGGUGCCAGGCAGUGCCCUCCUCCGCCAAGGCUGCGGGCCCCCUCCACCUUCGGCAUUGCCUGCUCAAAGCUCAGCGGCUCGCUCUGCCACGAAAGCCCAACAGCAGGUAGCCCAGGCAGCCAGAGGUGACCGUCUUCGGCUACUAGGUGACAUGUCAGUGUAGAUGUACCUAUGCCCUCUGGUUUAUGCUGGCUCGCUAGCUGCCUUUGGACUGCCUGUUGUCACCACCUCAAGCUUUGGACAGUGUUUCUUCAUUAGAUUAACUUGGACAGGUGUUAACAGGCUGUGCUGGCCUCUCUUGGUGACACUUUGGAUAAUUAGGGGCCAAACUUUCACAAAUUAACUUUGGAGCUAAACUGUACUUUUGAGACAGCACCUGGGGAGUCACUUCUAGGGUGGAAACAAGCGAUCCUGACAGGGCAUGGGACUUGUUUGGAACUGUCAUGUUAUACUGGUGUUGGCUCUCAGGGGGAGCAGAAGCUUCCACAUGUGCCAGCCCACAUCAGGAUGCUUCAAUGGAUGCCGGAGCCACUGCUGCAUGAAAUCGGAGGCACGUUCAUCUUAGCAGGCAGGUAGAGGGGUCUGAUGAACCCCUCUAGAGCCAGCACAAUGCAUCUGCUCCUAAUGUCACCUCAAGGUGAAACAGGUUCUGUCUGCGCAGGAAAUGUUUGACAAGACUCACAACUGAGAAGGGGACUAGAGGCUAUCACAGAGCCUGAUUUUGCAUCUCAGACCAGAUCUAAUAGGUGAGGUGGCCACAGGUCUAUAGUACCAUCUUCCAAGAGCAGGGCCUCUAAACUUCUGAAGGUGAUAUGCAGCUCUUUCCCAAGCGAGGUCCCAGGCUAAAACAGAAAAUCAUUAUUUGCCCAGAGAUGGGCUUUAUUCUGCAUAGAGUCCGACUCUUGUAAUGUGGAGCUCUGCCUUCCCAGUCACAAGGAUUUUCGAAGUAUUUCUCAAAUUCUUUUCUGCAGGCCUCAGCAUACACCCAGCCUCCACCAGGGAUCUGAGCCACCUGUUCACUUCUUGCUUCCUAACACCCACGUAAGACCUUUGGCUUUAAUUACACACACAGAGUCCCCCUGCCCCAGCCUUCCUUUGUCCCCAACACAAUGGGUUUAGACACCUGGAAAACUAAGGUUUAGCUGAGGACAAAGGCUGAGGUGGGGAGAACAUGGCUGGAAGGCAAGUGGCUGCUGAAGGGGAGGCCCAGCCGGGUCCCUGCCCAGGGCUAUCUCUGUGGCUAUCCCUGCCCCUUGCGCCUCUCUUCCAUUUAAUGCCCCGUUCACAGGCAUCAGGGCAGCAAGACUUUGACUAAAGCCAUUCCUUGUGGUCCUCGUAAGGCCUAUUGGCAGCAAGCAAAGUAGUUUCCCCUUGAACCCUGUGGCUAGUGCCACUUCUGCCAGGCGAAUGUCCCUGCAUGUGCUCCUUGCUGAAAGCCUCUGUAAACAGUUGAGGAAAGUGGCCUCAUUUGAUGUUUAUUCAUUGAGCUCUGUUCCUCUGCUCAGCAUUGUCCAAACUGAGCAAAAGAAAUUUACGGAGGUUGAAAUAAAUGAGGUCUCCUCAUUGGACCCAUAGACACUAAUGAUGGGCAACUAAAAAUCCCAGCUUUGAUUCACUUGGAUCAUGGCCUUUCUUGUUGCAUUAGAGGGGCACUCAGAUGACGUUGCCAUUCUGUAUCUGGCUGCUCAAAACAUUUGUUUUGAUUAUUUUCCUGUACCUUAGUUUCCCUUAACACAAAAGGAACCCUUAACACUGCAACUACAUAAAGUGAGUGAUAUGAUGUUGGAGCUACAUGCUCAAGGGCUCCCUGAGCUUUAUGGAGCACUGUAGGCAAAUGGUUUUUAAUGAAAUCAUACAUGAUUUGAGUUUAAUCAUGGUUUUUAUUUGCUUCUUUCCACUGAAGUGAAAACAAAAUGAAAGGAUGUAUUUUUUCUUUUUUAAAUGAUUUUGAAGUAUUUAGAAAGAGGCAGAGAGAAAAGAGAGCAAGACUAGUAAUCAGGUGAGCUACGUUCUGCCUGCAGUUCAGCUGUGGAUUAGUUGUAUGGUUUUGGUCUGUUCCCACCACUGCUCUGCUCCUCUGUGUUCCCACAUGCAGAAUGGGAAGAAAUAUGGUAAGUAGAUAAGAAAGUUAGGAUAACAGAUAGGGAUGAGUAGGUGGAUGAUGAGGGGAAAAAAAUUAAAAGGGUCAUCAAUUCUUAUGCAUCAGGGUUCAGCUCAAUAUUUAAAUAUUAAGUUUCAGGAGGAAAUCUGGGAAGCUGUAUCAUAUAAGUGCUUCCAGCAAGAUUUCUUGUGCUUACUUUUGACAUUGGGCAAGUGAAUCUCGGGUCUGAUCUAAUCAAGCUUUCCUUGUAUUCCUAACAAUACCCACUAGCACAAAGCACUUCUCUGGGGAUAGGUAAAAAGCACUGUGUGAGUGUUAUUCUUAUUAGAGAUGAUGGGAUGGAAGGGCAAAGCGAAGUCUCCACCCUGUAAUGGUCUGCAAUGGGGCAAUUGCAAGGCACAAAGUUAAGCAUAAGCUUCUGUCACUUUGGGUUGAGGACUUACAGUUUAGGCUCUCCUUUAAGAGGGGUCUAUUCUACCCUGGGAAUAAGAGUGUCAAGUUUGAGAUCUUCUUGCUCGCCCUCGUGUUGUGGGAAUGCUGUUGGUAUGCUGCGGGGGUAUCGUACCUCCCAUCAUCUCUCCCUAGGUACAACCCACUCUGCUGCCUCUUGGGCUGAGAGGUGGUGGUUAGGGGCAGGGAUAAAGGUGGGGGGAAAGCUGAUGAAGAGGGGAAAGGAAGCAACUUUUUAAAUAAAAAAAUAAGUGAUGAAUAGAUCGGCUAAUCCCGGGAAACCUUGAGAAUAUAGAGCAGUGUCUGUGGGGCCUCCCUUUUUUCUUUUCUUUUUUUAAUUUUCUUUUCUUUAAUUUCGCUGCAGCACGUAUAAUCAAUUAUGGCUUGAAUCGGGGAUAAGGGGAGGGAAAGUACUUCAAUUCAUAAAUCAAUUUUAUACGGUCAUCAGUCAGGUUGUGAAUGCAAAUACCUCUGUCGGUUUAGGUUAUUCAGAAUUAAUUGACUCCCACCGGGCUGGGCUGCAGAUGGAGAGAAGCUUUCUCACAAAGUCUACUCGGGCUCAGCAUGGGGGCAGGCAGGCGGGCCAGCUUCCUCCUCCUCCUCUUCCUCUGCUUUGCUCUCCUGGAGGAUUAUACUAUUGGUGUUGGGGAGAGUUUUGUGUGCAUGUGCGUGUGUGUCUGUGUGUCUGUCUGUGAGAGGGAGAGAUGCUUGAAGAAAGAAAGGGAUAUGCAAAGAUUAAAGUCACAAGCCCCCUCUUCAGCCCCGGCCUGCGCAGACACUUUUAUGUGAUUAGGAAUGCUUUGCUUUCAAGGGUUUGCUUUUAAGCCUUGAGCUUCUCUUGAACUUCUCCAAUAAGAAAACAAACAGCAGUGUCAAAGCCUCCCCCUGUGCCUGGAAUUUGAGCUAGAAUCAUGUCAUUAAAAAGCCACUUUGCUACUGGGA